Long non-coding RNA from Esox lucius (northern pike), 660 nucleotides. RefSeq lists it as uncharacterized. NCBI's taxonomy places the organism in Eukaryota, Metazoa, Chordata, Actinopteri, Esociformes, Esocidae. The transcript is spliced from 3 exons. The record is from RefSeq and is a predicted model, not a curated record.
UAUAGUGACCUAUUUGUGCGCAGAGCAAGUAAUUUUAGUUUUUUAAUAUUGCACCACAAACGCUGCCAUGUGGAGUGAUGUCGAACCUAACGUUACAUCUCGGAGCUCUCAGAAGGCGCUCAGGUGUAUUCUCCCACUCAGAGUUCGGAACUUUCCCAGUUGCUCAUUAACGCAUCUUCCAAAACAGAGAGGUUUGAUUCAGAUGUGGUGUGUAAUUCACUUCUAACAUCUCAGGAAGAAAUCUGGAAACAAAGAGGAGCAACAGUGAUCAUAUUUAAGGGUGGAACUGGAAGACGAGGAAGAGUCGCCUGGACGCAGGUGCCCUGUCACAUUUCGGGAGGGAGCCCGUGGACUGAGGGAAUACUGUGCCGUAGUGAGCAGCAGCAGCCGACACAGUGUAAUAAAAAGAGGCCCAGCUAAAGAGGACCAGCCCAGGAGAAGACUGGACCCAGAACGAUUAUUUCGCUGUCAUAACAGACUUAACUAAAGUGGUUAAAAUUGCCUGUCGUUGCUUAGCGAUCAUUAAGAGGGAUGAGAGAAGGAAGCUGAUGUUCAUGACUACCCUCCACAUUGUAGUAAGCCACCCGUGUGUUCCUGUCCUAUGUCAGACAUCAUUUUGUAACCCUGAGAUCUGACAAAGCAAAAAUAACUUUAUAUAAA